CAGCGUGCGGUGCGAUCCUUCAGAGCCCUCACGUUAUUCUUGCUUCCGUUUGAGAUGAGAAAUACCUUGAGAGAACAGUUUUAACAUCACCGUCUCCAGUUCCAGGGCUGACGCUGCCGCGUAUUCACUCACUUGAAGUUACCACCUCAAGCAUCCAGCGCGCAGGCAUCAUUUCUUCAGAGAAACAGCAUUUAACCAGCCUAAGAUAAACUCAACCUUCUCCUACUCAGCAGAGCCUGUCAAGCCUCCUGCUAACGCCAUUCCAGAAAUGCUGAUGGCUCCAUCUUUCCCGGGCGAAGGGAGCUGGAAUCUCCAAGGACAACCGUUUCCCCAGCUAUGUCUUUUGGACAUUACCAAUGUCUCCUCUUGAUUAUAAACAGACAAAACUGGAGGACUGGGAACUGCAAAUGAAGCUGCAACAGACACACUGGCCACUGAAAAAAACAAUAAAUACCAUCAGCUACCCAAGCACUUGGGUAAAGUGUGUCACAAUCCUGCUCUGGCAAACACAGGCAGCUGCUUGGAACACCCCAGUCCAUAAGGAGCAGUUUGUGUGUGAGUGACUGCAGGCUGCCAAGGGACUGUGCUUCCUUGAUUUCCUAGAACAGCAGAAUCCCUAGGAUUGACCUUUGGGAGUUCACUGUCAUCACAUGCUCCUCUGCAGCUGGUUUCUGUUUGGCAAGACAGUGAGGCACAAAAAUCCAUCUCAGUGGCUCAAAAGGAAAAGGGGAAAAAAAAAAGUAAUGUCUCUUUCCCCAAAAUUGGCUGCAUUUCUGUCGUGUCCAGGGAAUUAUUAUGUAUUUCAAAUGGCUGUGAGUAAUUUGGAAGGAGCCUCUCAUAAUGAGGCUCAAGCCUCUUGCUUUUUUCUCCCUGCAGGCACAAUAGUUUCCAGGGAUAUCUUUGGGAGUUUCAGACAUGUGGAGGAAACAGACUGUCAAAGGCAGAUUCUCUUGUGUGGAUUUGAGACAAUUUUGCUUUCCAAAUCUUGGGCAAUAAGGCACCCAAAGAGAACAAAUCCAGGAAGUGGAGAGGGAAAACAAGCUUUGCUGCAAAUUAAUUUAUUUCCCCAAGGAGGAUUUAGGUCCUGUUUUUGUACAAGCAGUGAGUGUCCAUUGUAAGAACAGUAACCCACUAACUUCAGUUGGGAAAGAGUGGAGGCCAAACAGCAUCUUGUGAAUGGAUAUAACUGAGGGUGGAUGAACCACUGGGAAUGUAAAGUGCAGGAUAACAGUGUUGCACAUAUUUUCUCAGCCUUGUCUAUGCAGUAAAGUUUUACAAAUCAUGUAGGUGCCCAUAAUAACACUUUAACCCCUUCCUAAGUGCCUCUUAUUUCUGCUCAGCAGAGGCUGAAAUGAGAAAUGUUCCACUUUUAUUAGAACAUAUAGAUUUAACCAGGCAUUGCAGAAACAGCCCAAUGUUCAGCCUCUGUGCUGUAGGUGACACUGAACCCACCUCCCCAUCCAACUUGAAACAUGUCAUAGAGUAUUUUGGCAGCCCCAUUUUAGGGACCUAAAAUUAGUUCCUCUGAAUCACGCUUUAGAAGAGCCUAUUUCUGUCCCAUACUACACAGGAAGCUCAAGUUCCUUGGCACCUCGUUCAGAUGCUGAAAUCAUUCUUGUCCUCAUCCCCCAAAUAGACAAAUUCUCUGUAAAAUAGAACUUUAUGUAAUAGGCGUGUUUCUAAGUUGUCCCUUUGGCACCUUUCAGUGCCAGCUUUGGGUGACUGAACAAUUUAGCAACACUGGGAUGAGGGAAAGGGAUCCUCAUCAAAAAGCAAGUUAUUCCCCUGUAUUUCUAUAAUGGGGAUUUGUGAGAUUUUGGGGGGGGUCACAGACCAGGCCAGGUAGGACACAGGUAACAUGAAGCUCCUGUUGGAUUGGCUAUUCUUUUCCAAACUGUAACAUCACAGAAUGGUUUGGGUU
Molecule: long non-coding RNA, 1921 nt
Organism: Neopelma chrysocephalum (saffron-crested tyrant-manakin)
Lineage: Eukaryota; Metazoa; Chordata; Aves; Passeriformes; Pipridae
Exons: 4
Source: RefSeq, a predicted model, not a curated record